CAAGUAAUAAUAAGAUCGAUGAUUCGAUGCAACCUUUUCUUGACCAAUGUUUCAAUGUAAUUUAAUCCUUUUAACCUUAAUAUCCUAAAUUAAACUCGAGUCAUGGAAUGUGUCAUACUCUUCAUAAUUUAAUCUGAGUUUUCUUGAUCAAUGAGUAGACUAUAUGAAACAAAUCACUAUUUGAGCAUGGCCAUGCAUUUCAUAGUCCUACUCAAUCAAGAGGCCUAUGGAUAUCACCCCUAAUAUAUAGGAAGGUUAAAUCCCAUCUAGAUCACUCAUAUUCCUCACACGAUUCAUGAUGUACCCAAUAAUCACCUUUAUAGUCCACCCUAUUAAAGGGGACAUUUGAUGAUAUCAAAGUACAU
This 365-nucleotide long non-coding RNA is filed under the name Panax ginseng (ginseng). RNAcentral describes it as "long non-coding RNA (PGIN_LNC002768)". Lineage: Eukaryota; Viridiplantae; Streptophyta; Magnoliopsida; Apiales; Araliaceae. The record is from RNAcentral.